This 953-nucleotide long non-coding RNA is filed under the name Gallus gallus (chicken). RNAcentral describes it as "long non-coding RNA NONGGAT011970". The record is from RNAcentral. Lineage: Eukaryota; Metazoa; Chordata; Aves; Galliformes; Phasianidae.
CCGCGCUGUGUCGUCCAGCGUCUUACGUGCGUCGGCCAGCUCCGUCUCGAAGAGCUCCUUCAAACCGCUGAUCUCGCGGCCGCAUACCUGCUCCCGCUCGGAAACGCGCCGCUGCAGCGCGCUGUUCUCCGUCUCCAGGCUGCGCACCUUAUCGAUGUAGACAGCCAGCCGGUCGUUCAGCUGCUGCAGUUCCUCCUUUUCCUGCAGCCUCGAGAUGCGCGUGGGGCUCAGUGCCGCGCUGGCCGCAGCGCCCCGGGGCUGCGGCGACAGUGGUGCGACGGCCGCCGCCAUGGAGCGCGGGAUGUUGGGCAGAGGCUGCGAGAGAGCCGGGCGGGAGGAGAGCACUAAGCGAUGGGAGACAGAGAACAGGCGGCCGUGUGCGGAAGCCAAGAGGCUCUUAGCGUACAGCAGCAGGCACAACCGAUGCGGCGCGCUCGGGAGCCCCCUACAAUAUGGCCGGCUCCACUUCUCUGCUCCCCCCCCCCCCAUCCCCUACCAUCACGUCACGUGGCUAGCUCUCAGCCAAUAACGUGCUGAGAAUGGCCGCGCGCCUCGGGCUUUGUAGGCGGAGGCACGAUUCGAAUCCCGCCGCCGCCGACAUAUAGAUGAGCCCGCGCGCCAGCGAGGUCCCGCCCCACUCACUGCGUUGACGUUCGCUGUGCUCUGCAUCGUGCCAUCCUUUGUUGUGGAGCUGAGGGAAGGAAUCCCCUUGCUGCUCCGCUACCCGCCUGUUUGCUUUUCCCGAUAGCGGGGAAGCUGCGAGCUGCAAUUGGAGAACACUCGAGCCAACACCUAGUCUUAGCUGCCUCCUUGCAUUGUAGUAGCUGAAAUGUGGUGAAUUGGAUUCAGCUCAGUCCAAGUGUUAGCAUUUGCAUUUGGAUGUUCCGUAUCUGGGAUUUGUCUGACUGUCAAAGUUAUGGCGCUUGAAAUAAAGCAUAUUGUUUUUGCCGAAG